UACAGAGGGGGCAAGCGUUGUUCGGAAUUACUGGGCGUAAAGGGCGCGUAGGCGGCCGCCUAAGUCAGACGUGAAAUCCUUCGGCUCAACCGGGGAACUGCGUCUGAUACUGGGUGGCUUGAAUCCGGGAGAGGGAUGCGGAAUUCCAGGUGUAGCGGUGAAAUGCGUAGAUAUCUGGAGGAACACCGGUGGCGAAGGCGGCAUCCUGGACCGGCAUUGACGCUGAGGCGCGAAAGCCAGGGGAGCAAACGGG
RNAcentral lists this ribosomal RNA (253 nucleotides) under uncultured bacterium. RNAcentral's name for it is "partial 16S ribosomal RNA". It matches the Rfam family "Bacterial small subunit ribosomal RNA", at positions 524 to 776 of the family's 1533-position model. The record is from RNAcentral.